This 1077-nucleotide long non-coding RNA is filed under the name Homo sapiens (human). RNAcentral describes it as "HSALNT0319431". Lineage: Eukaryota; Metazoa; Chordata; Mammalia; Primates; Hominidae. The record is from RNAcentral.
GCAACCCCUCCUUUUUCUGUGUGGCAGUUGCAACGCCUCCUUUUUCGGCGUGUCAGUUGCUAUGUGGCAGUUGCAACCCCUCCUUUUUCUGUGUGGCAGUUGAAAAUGAAAGUACCUCCAACCGGUUCCCUCCUGCAACCAAUCAGACUGAUUUGCGCAGAAUGAACCAGUGGGAAACCUAUAGAGGAUAAAACACAGAAGGGAGCACAGAGCUGCCUGGUCCUGCAGCUCUCCUGGAGUGAGGUGGUGCUGCUAACCACUGGAAGCUGAAGUCCAGAGGCUCUAUUCAGUCAAGGGGUGAUGAACUCUCUUUGGGUCUGGAGACAGGCUGGAACUGGGAUGAGAUAUGGAGACCCUGCCAUUUACGACAACGUGGAUGUAUCUGCAGGACAUUAAGACAAGUGCAAUAAGCAAGACACGGAAAGAAAAUAUAGCAUGGUCUCUCUUAUAUGUGGAAUUUUAAAAAUUAACUCUGAAUACUUUGGAUUAAACUGAUGCAGCAGUCAUCCAAGAGAUGUCCACAUAUGUACUCCUGUUAAUGUUAGUUCCUUUCAUCCAAGCCAUCAGAGGUUCUCCCUGGAUCUCAUUUUUGGGCUCUGAAAAAUCAAAUCUGUCCAUGGCAGUGCUAGCAUACUGUCUAUUAGAUUAAAUGAAGCUGUAAGCAUCUUUGAAGUACAAAUGAUACUUGGAAAGUAAAUGAAACUGGGAAUACUUGCAAGUAAAAUAUGGGAAGUCAAAGAGAUUAAAGGAUGAGAACCAGAAAUUGCUUAUGGCCAGUGUCCUGAGUAAGCCUCAGAAUCGCAUCCUAGAAGCAUCAAGUUCUUGUGUUACCCUAUGGAUCUAAAAAACGACUUCCUUAGUUUGAUGUAGUCUGCAGACAUCUCAUCAUCACAAAAACUUGAAAGCACUUACAGCACUAAGAAACUACCUUUGCAGAUUGUAAAAAAAGAUAGAAUCCUACUUAGUGUUUUGAUCACACCUGCCUAUUUCCCCAAGGUUUUACUGCAGGGUUAAAGAAUGAAUAAGCAUCUAGUUAUAUUUAAUAAACUCCAUGCCUUAUGGCUGAUUCUAAAGGCA